UCAUUCCUUUCAAAAGUUCUGAUUUCUAAGGAAUGUUUCACUAACAAUCCCCAAGAAUGCUAAGGAUUAAGGAAUUCAGCCAGGCUCAGUGGCCCAUGCCUGUAUCCCAGCUCCUCUGAAAGCUGAGGCAGGAGCCGUCUGGGGGUGGGGGGAUUUAACCUAACCCUGGCAACUCUGGAGGUUGAGGCAGGAUGGCAAAACCAUCUUAAAAUAAAAAUAAGGGUUGGGGAUGUGGCUCACUGGUAAUGCGCCCCUAGGUUCAAAUGUACCUGCUUGCAAGGUUUGACUCCCUGAGGGAUCUCCCAGAUAACACAGCAGGUGAUACUGUCCCAGUACUGGCACAUUUCUGAGGGAGGAACAAGACUUCAAAAUACCAGCUCUGAUGUUUAUUUUUCUGGUUUUCACUUGAACACUGGUAGAGCUACCAGUGUCGCUGUCUGGCCUCUGGGGACUUGAACGACUCAGAUUUCAGUGGCUGCCCUUAGCUUGAGCAGCUGCUAUUUUUAAAAAAAUAUCAUUUUUUUGUAGUUGAAUAAAAUACCUUUAUAAAUCUAUUUUUAUGUGGUGCUGAGGAUCAAACCCAGGGCCUUGCAAGUGAGAGGUGAGCAUUCUACCCCUGAGCCACAAUCCCAGCUUGAUCAGCUGCUAUUAAUAGGUAAUUUAAUGUCAGUGCCUAACCCAGUUCUUGAAACUUGCUCUACACAUCCCAUCACAUGGAUGAACAAGUGAAGAUGGUGUUCUAGAUAACCAUGCUAGCUUUCUGAGGACAUGGUUUUCAUUUGAACCCCUGAGCCAGCUGGCAGAAUGGCAUGGCAUCUCCUAGAGGGGGCUCUCAUCACAGGCAGUUUCAUUUCCCUGAAUCCACAUAGCACACAUGAGGAUAUUAAGUUUGCUUGGGGACAUAAGAAAAUAGCUAACCCAACAGAAGAAAGACAUUUGAUCUGCGCUUCUGCACUGAAUCUGACACUCAGCUCAGCAUCUCACCUGUUCAUUACAGGGCUAGUCAUGGGGGAUUUCAAAGCCAAGCUAGAGGCACAUUAGAGACCUUAAGGAUAACUAGUAGCAAGAGAAAAUAAUCAAUGUGCUUAACUUAGGGCAAAUUCCCCACUCAAAGCUUUUUGUGUGUGCGUAUCCCAUUGGGGUGCUAUACCACUGAGCCAUAUCCCUAGCCCUUUUUGAGACAGGGUCUUGCUAAGUUGCUGAGGCUGGCUUGGAACCUACAAUUGUCCUGUCUCAGCCUCCCAAGUCACUCGCAUCACAGGCAAUAGCCACUGUGCAUAGCCUGCUCAAAGCUUUAAGAUUGAUUUGGGUAUCCUCCAGAUUAAAUGGCAGGAAGAGACAAACUUUACCAGAAAGGAGUUGUGGGGAAAGGAGCCAAUUUACGGCAUUUUGUUUGCAGAAUGGAUGGAUGGGAAAGAACACACAAAAAAAACAGGCAAAGACUUUAAUUACGUGGUUCCGAAGUUUAAUUCAACCAUUAUUCCUAAUUUUGCCUUGUAAAAAUAACAAAACGUUCCUAUCAAAAUUGCAUUGUGAUGUGAGGACAAGUUUCUUGUUUUGAUACAGCUUUAGAAACAUGUUGGCACCAAAUGUUAUUAAAAAAAAUUAAGGCUUAAUAAAAAUACAGACUAGUAAUUUCUUAAUGCAGCUUGGAGGUUGAGGACAGGAUGUGUCCACAUACAGACAGCAUCUUCCUAAUGUGGGUGCACACCAUACCCACAAUGCUGGGCUCACCUGGGAAGUGCCUUCUCUGCUCCCGCAGUGAGCACACUGCCCAGGACACGGACUCAGAACAGAGUUUCCUUCUCAUUGGCACAACAGCAGGAACCAGCACAGUAAUGUCAGAUAUUUUUCUUGGCAAUUUGAUUUAGAAUUCACAAUUUAUUUUCUCUAAGAAAACAUCAUUACAAAUAGUGGUUCAUAUCUAUCAUUAACACUAGUUCCUUGUAAGUCAAACAAGUUAGUGGGUUUUGGCUUAAAAAGCUAAGCAACAUUUAUAUUAUUUUAGUGGGAACUUGCCCUGCCCCAGAAUUCCAAACAAUGUUAUAAAUGACUUUGAACAGAAACCUGUUCAAGUUCUCAGGACUCACAUGGAAUGCUUUUGGCUCCAUGGUAUAUAGGGCAACUGAAGGGGUUAAGAUUCUUUGGCUGACAAGUCAUAUGCAGACCCCUCCAUGUGCCAGGAGCCAGAGCCUGGGGAUUCAUUAGCUCCUGCAGGUAGCGUUAGACCACACAAGACCUGCCAUUUGUCCAAAGCUAAAGGACACCGAGGAUGUUCCUAGCACCUGAUUCGAGCCCUGUAGGCACUUAAAGCAAUAGCCAUGCCACCAAGGCCCUCUCCUGUUAAUAUGCCCACCACAAGGAAGCAGGGAACUGAGGCUGCAGUGGACAGGGAGGGACCUCUGCCUGACAAAUGAAGCAACAUGACUCAUGCCAGCAAAGCAUCUGCUGACGUGAGAGCUGAGACUCUGCUGACAAACUACUUAACGCUCUGGCCUAUUGUUUAUAGUAGGUUCCAGAGGUGCUGCAGUUUCAAAAAGGUGGCUGAAGCAGUGGACUGCUUUCUGGAAGAUGUCAGAAACCAAAUCCACAGCAAGACAGACUGGGCUCUCUUCAGCUGUUCCUGGAUGCCUAGUCAGCAGGAGACAGCUCACGGAAGAGCCCACCAGCCACUCAGCACCAGCUCCCUGCCCUUGCCCACCUCAGAAUCCUGCUCCAUCAGAACAAAUGAGCAGACACCAGGGGAGCCCUCUAUCCUCAUCCCCAGACAUGUAGCUUGCAGUCUGAAAGGCCCCAGUCCUCUAGGCAGCCAGCUUCACACACAGGGCAACCCUCUCCCACCCCCUUUUGUUUGGGCUAAAGAAAACAAUAAAUUUUUAAUACUCUGUA
This is a non-coding RNA of Ictidomys tridecemlineatus (thirteen-lined ground squirrel), 2889 nucleotides long. The record is from RefSeq and is a predicted model, not a curated record. Lineage: Eukaryota; Metazoa; Chordata; Mammalia; Rodentia; Sciuridae.